Molecule: long non-coding RNA, 1649 nt
Filed under: Marmota monax (woodchuck)
Lineage: Eukaryota; Metazoa; Chordata; Mammalia; Rodentia; Sciuridae
Source: RNAcentral
AGUCACACACCGUUCACACCAUACCAUGCACCAUUUUUAAAGCAUACAAUUCAGGGACAUUUGUUAUAUCCUCACUGCUCUGCCACCGUGACCACUACUCAGUUCCAGAAGAUUCUCCUCAUCCCCCAAAUAAACCCCAAGCCGGUGAAGCAGUCACUCCCCACUCUCCUCUCUGCCUGCUUCUCGGCCAUUGGCAGCCACUGAUCUGUUUCCUGUCUCUGUGGAUCUGCCUAUUCUGGCCUCCCCAUAGAAACGGAGUCACCCACCAUCUUGGUCUUUUGUAUCUGGCUUCCUUUUAAUAUGAUGUCUCCAAGGUUCCUCACAUAGAAGUAGGCAUCAGGACUUUGAUUCUUGUUACGGUUGGGUCGAGUGAUGUCCCAUUGUCACGGAUCUGCCUCGCUGGGUUAUCUGUCCAUUGGAUUCUGGGGUUGUGACUGUGUUCUGGCUCCUUUGAGUAUCACUGUGCACUGCUCUUAGUUUUUUGGGUUUUUAUUUUUGUACCAGGGAUUGAACCCAGGAGUGUGUAACCACCAAGCCACACCACCAGCCCUUUAAAAAAUAUAUAUUUUAUCUAGAGACAGAGUCUCCCUGAGUUGCUUAGGGCCUCACUAAGUUGCUGAGGCUGGCUAUGAACUCCCGAUCCUCCUGCCUCAGCCUCCUGAGCCUCUGGGGGUUACAGGCGAGCGCCAGGCACCCGGCUUUGCAUGCUCUUUUUAUCCCUCAUCUGUCUUGUGUUGAAGGCCUGCCUUGCUGUCACUGGAAGGAGCUCUGGAGAGUUGAGAAGGCGGCCAGACGGCCUCAUGCAGCUCCAGCCGUGAGAUUUCAGGCAGCCCGGUUGGCGCGCGUUUCCUAGUGCGCAUGCGCCUUCCUGACAGCCCUGCAGAUGGUCCUGCGAGGCGCCCAACCCAGCGUGCGAGGUCCAGUCCUUCCUACGUAAGCGGGGAAAGUCCGAUGUCAGAGGAGAGCUGUUUUUGUUCCUCCUUUUCCCUUUGAUUCCCCUCCCUUUCUGGUUCCCCGCUUCCUCUUCUCUGCUGUUGCCAGUCACUGCGUUUGAACUGCCCUUUCUUCUUUCUUCAGCGGGCCUGGGGACAUGGUGGAACAUUCUGGGCUAAUGCCAGGCUGGAGGUGAACCUGGUGACAUGUGUCAUGGGAUGCAUCCUCCGAAAGGGCAGGAUGAGCUGCAGAGGACAGUGGUCAGCCACACUAGGUGGUGGGUGACAGGGUGAAGCCAGCAGUGGCUGGACCCGAAGAGGGUGCAGGAGGGCCCUGAUGGUGCCUUCCCAUCCAGUUUGAUUUAGGGUCUUAGUUUACAGACAGCAUUGAGGCCUUUUGUGGCCCAGGAGGUCACCAGAAUGAUGGAUACUUAGAUAUCAGAAUCAAACCCACAGGGACACGCAGGGGCGAGCUCCCGAUGGAGAGGUGUGUGCUUUUCUUGGACAUUGGUUUGUGAAUGUUCUGUCUCCUGCAGCCCUGUGCCUGCUGCUUCCCCAGCCCAAGGUGAAGCCUCUUGAAGGAAAAGAUGACAAGCCACUUUUAUUUCUCCAUACACGCUUGCUCAGGGUGCCCCCCCUGGAUUUCUGAGUUCACAAGUCGCUUUGACUGUAUGUGGUGACAGCAACUUCAUUUAUUUCAUCCAGUAAUGAUGACAG